GCAUUCCUAGCGCCAUCUGUUUAGAAUUACUAGAAUUAUUGGAACGAGAUUUGACUAUGGUCAGUCUGGCGGAGCGUCGUGUCGAUGGUCAGCGCGAACAUGUUGAAUUUAGUUUAGUUUUCGAACGUCAACGGCGAGCGCACCACGUCUGCGACGAAUCGCUUUUUGUUCCAAAUAAUCUUGUGUCUUUUUGUUACAAAACUAAUUAAAAGUGAUUGAUUAAGUGAUUCCCUAAUUACGAGUGAAUAGAUUUUAGUGAAUUGCUGUAAGGGAGAUACUUUUUGUGAUUCUAUUGUUCCUACCCACAUAACAACUUAUUGAAGACAUGGCUUAUUCUUAUGAUAAAGGGCAUCCGCCCAUAUCAGAAGUGGGAUCCCAUGCGCUACUGACCGUGCAAAAACAACCACCUGACUAAAAUAGCGCCUUGAAGUUGUUAAGUAAUAUGGAAACUGACUCGGAUGUUAGCGACAACGCAACCACCGGUGGCAACUGCUAACGCCCAGUAUAGUGCAGUGAAAUUCGUAGUUUAAUCGGGUAGACGCAGACGCGGAUAUAGAAGGAUGACUAAGCAGCAAGAUCCGUCAACUGCAACACGUGCCCCCGAGAAAACUUCUACCGUAACCUGUUAUAUAUGCGGUCAAGUUGGACACAUAGCAACAAUUUGUAAAGAAAAG
Long non-coding RNA from Pieris napi, 674 nucleotides. RefSeq lists it as uncharacterized. NCBI's taxonomy places the organism in Eukaryota, Metazoa, Arthropoda, Insecta, Lepidoptera, Pieridae. The record is from RefSeq and is a predicted model, not a curated record. The transcript is spliced from 2 exons.